CCAUAUCAUGUUGAAACAUUGAUUCUCAUAUGAUCACUGAAGUUAAGCAACAUCAAGCCUGGUCAGUACCUAGGUAGGUGACCAUUUUGGAAUAACAGGUGCUGUAAG
Molecule: non-coding RNA, 108 nt
Organism: Acanthosepion pharaonis
Lineage: Eukaryota; Metazoa; Mollusca; Cephalopoda; Sepiida; Sepiidae
Source: the annotation of a GenBank genome assembly